This 264-nucleotide ribosomal RNA is filed under the name uncultured bacterium. RNAcentral's name for it is "partial 16S ribosomal RNA". It matches the Rfam family "Bacterial small subunit ribosomal RNA", at positions 793 to 1055 of the family's 1533-position model. The record is from RNAcentral.
GUCCACGCUGUAAACGAUGCACAUUAGGUGCUAGAGAGUAUCGACCCUCUUUAGUGCCACAGCUAACGCGUUAAAUGUGCCGCCUGGGGAGUACGGCCGCAAGGCUAAAACUCAAAGUAAUUGACGGGGACCCGCACAAGUGGUGGAGCAUGUGGUUUAAUUCGACGAUAAGCGAGGAACCUUACCAAGGCUUGACAUGUACCUGCAAUCUCGCGAAAGCGAGACGCCUUCGAGGGUGGUACACAGGUGAUGCACGGUCGUCGU